GAUGAACGCUAGCGGCAGGCCUAACACAUGCAAGUCGAGGGGUAACAGGAAAGCUUGCUUUUGCUGACGACCGGCGCACGGGUGCGUAACGCGUAUGCAACCUACCUCAUACAGGAGGAUAGCCCUUGGAAACGAGGAUUAAUACUCCAUGGUAUCACGAAUUCGCAUGUUUUUGUGAUUAAAGUUUUCGGUAUGAGAUGGGCAUGCGUCCCAUUAGCUUGUUGGUGAGGUAACGGCUCACCAAGGCGACGAUGGGUAGGGGGCCUGAGAGGGUGGUCCCCCACACUGGUACUGAGACACGGACCAGACUCCUACGGGAGCAGCAGUGAGGAAUAUUGGUCAAUGGAGGCAACUCUGAACCAGCCAUGCCGCGUGAAGGAUGACGGCCCUAUGGGUU
Molecule: ribosomal RNA, 397 nt
Filed under: uncultured bacterium
Lineage: Bacteria
Description: bacterial SSU rRNA
Rfam family: Bacterial small subunit ribosomal RNA
Source: RNAcentral